GGUCAAGCUAAUAAGGGCUAAUGGUGGAUACCUAGAC
RNAcentral lists this ribosomal RNA (37 nucleotides) under Nostoc sp. 4G6. RNAcentral's name for it is "partial 23S ribosomal RNA". The record is from RNAcentral. Lineage: Bacteria; Bacillati; Cyanobacteriota; Cyanophyceae; Nostocales; Nostocaceae.